GCUGAUAUAGCUCAGAUGGUAGAGCGCAUCCUUGGUAAGGAUGACGGUCGGCAGUUCGAUUCUGCCUAUCAGCACCA
Molecule: transfer RNA, 77 nt
Filed under: Vibrio metoecus
Lineage: Bacteria; Pseudomonadati; Pseudomonadota; Gammaproteobacteria; Vibrionales; Vibrionaceae
Description: tRNA-Thr
Rfam family: tRNA
About the family: Transfer RNA (tRNA) molecules are approximately 80 nucleotides in length.
Source: RNAcentral